GAACUUUCCAGAGAUGGACUGGUGCCUUCGGGAACUGUGAGACAGGUGCUGCAUGGCUGUCGUCAGCUCGUGUUGUGAAAUGUUGGGUUAAGUCCCGCAACGAGCGCAACCCUUAUCCUUUGUUGCCAGCGGUCCGGCCGGGAACUCAAAGGAGACUGCCAGUGAUAAACUGGAGGAAGGUGGGGAUGACGUCAAGUCAUCAUGGCCCUUACGACCAGGGCUACACACGUGCUACAAUGGCGCAUACAAAGAGAAGCGACCUCGCGAGAGCAAGCGGACCUCAUAAAGUGCGUCGUAGUCCGGAUUGGAGUCUGCAACUCGACUCCAUGAAGUCGGAAUCGCUAGUAAUCGUGGAUCAGAAUGCCACGGUGAAUACGUUCCCGGGCCUUGUACACACCGCCCGUCACACCAUGGGAGUGGGUUGCAAAAGAAGUAGGUAGCUUAACCUUCGGGAGGGCGCUUACCACUUUGUGAUUCAUGACUGGGGUGAAGUCGUAACAAGGUAACCGUAGGGGAACCUGC
Molecule: ribosomal RNA, 522 nt
Filed under: Salmonella enterica
Lineage: Bacteria; Pseudomonadati; Pseudomonadota; Gammaproteobacteria; Enterobacterales; Enterobacteriaceae
Also listed under: 5 other names
Description: bacterial SSU rRNA
Rfam family: Bacterial small subunit ribosomal RNA
Source: RNAcentral